This 763-nucleotide ribosomal RNA is filed under the name uncultured Streptococcus sp. RNAcentral's name for it is "bacterial SSU rRNA". It matches the Rfam family "Bacterial small subunit ribosomal RNA", at positions 28 to 776 of the family's 1533-position model. Lineage: Bacteria; Bacillati; Bacillota; Bacilli; Lactobacillales; Streptococcaceae. The record is from RNAcentral.
GACGAACGCUGGCGGCGUGCCUAAUACAUGCAAGUAGAACGCUGAAGGAGGAGCUUGCUCUUCUGGAUGAGUUGCGAACGGGUGAGUAACGCGUAGGUAACCUGCCUGGUAGCGGGGGAUAACUAUUGGAAACGAUAGCUAAUACCGCAUAAGAGUAGAUGUUGCAUGACAUUUGCUUAAAAGGUGCAAUUGCAUCACUACCAGAUGGACCUGCGUUGUAUUAGCUAGUUGGUGGGGUAACGGCUCACCAAGGCGACGAUACAUAGCCGACCUGAGAGGGUGAUCGGCCACACUGGGACUGAGACACGGCCCAGACUCCUACGGGAGGCAGCAGUAGGGAAUCUUCGGCAAUGGACGGAAGUCUGACCGAGCAACGCCGCGUGAGUGUAGAAGGUUUUCGGAUCGUAAAGCUCUGUUGUAAGAGAAGAACGAGUGUGAGAGUGGAAAGUUCACACUGUGACGGUAUCUUACCAGAAAGGGACGGCUAACUACGUGCCAGCAGCCGCGGUAAUACGUAGGUCCCGAGCGUUGUCCGGAUUUAUUGGGCGUAAAGCGAGCGCAGGCGGUUAGAUAAGUCUGAAGUUAAAGGCUGUGGCUUAACCAUAGUACGCUUUGGAAACUGUUUAACUUGAGUGCAAGAGGGGAGAGUGGAAUUCCAUGUGUAGCGGUGAAAUGCGUAGAUAUAUGGAGGAACACCGGUGGCGAAAGCGGCUCUCUGGCUUGUAACUGACGCUGAGGCUCGAAAGCGUGGGGAGCAAACAGG